CGAUAUGACCCUGGUUGUGGUCCCUCGGUUGAGUAUACUCACUAUCUCGCUCUAAUAAUUGAGCCCUGUUUACAACAUCUGAAUAGAGAGAAAAUUUAUGAGAAAUGAGAUAUUGUCGUAUGUCGGGUUUCAAACCUCUCAGAAACAUCCGCGUCAUACGUUCCUCAUUCUCCACCAAAUGAGGUGCAAUCCUGGAUAACUCUGCGAACUUUGCCUCGUACUGGGACACCGUC
Molecule: long non-coding RNA, 233 nt
Filed under: Panax ginseng (ginseng)
Lineage: Eukaryota; Viridiplantae; Streptophyta; Magnoliopsida; Apiales; Araliaceae
Description: long non-coding RNA (PGIN_LNC010562)
Source: RNAcentral